Molecule: non-coding RNA, 85 nt
Filed under: Paenibacillus sp.
Lineage: Bacteria; Bacillati; Bacillota; Bacilli; Caryophanales; Paenibacillaceae
Also listed under: 1 other name
Description: c-di-GMP sequence
Rfam family: c-di-GMP-I riboswitch aptamer
About the family: GEMM was predicted in a large-scale screen for bacterial structured RNA regulatory elements.
Source: RNAcentral
AGAAAAAUGUGGAAAAUCUAUAGAAAUAUAGGGACACAAAACUACAGGGACUAAGGUUAUAUAACUAUGUCAGCCUGUUGCCAAA